RNAcentral lists this ribosomal RNA (371 nucleotides) under uncultured organism. RNAcentral describes it as "bacterial SSU rRNA". It matches the Rfam family "Bacterial small subunit ribosomal RNA", at positions 526 to 896 of the family's 1533-position model. The record is from RNAcentral.
CAGAGGUCCCGAGCGUUGUUCGGAUUCACUGGGCGUAAAGGGUGCGUAGGUGGUGAAGUAAGUCGGAUGUGAAAUCUCGGAGCUCAACUCCGAAAUGGCAUUGGAAACUACCUUGCUUGAGGAUUGAGGGGGGACUGGAAUACUUGGUGUAGCAGUGAAAUGCGUAGAUAUCAAGUGGAACACCAGUGGCGAAGGCGAGUCCCUGGACAACUCCUGACACUGAGGCACGAAAGCUAGGGGAACAAACAGGAUUAGAUACCCUGGUAGUCCUAGCCGUAAACGGUGCACGUUUGCUGUAAAAGGAAUCGACCCCUUUUGUGGCGUAGCCAACGCGUUAAACGUGCCGCCUGGGAAGUACGGUCGCAAGAUUA